CGGCUGCGGCAGCGCAGAGCCCGCCGCACUGGGAGCCCUCCCGGUGUCCCCAGAGCAUGCCCCGCCACUGCUGUGCAGAUGCUGCCGAGCAAAGUUGUGACAGAGCUCGACCACAGAGAGCAGCAAAUCCGAGUGGGACGAAACCUGAGCAAAUGAGAAUCCUGCUCCCGGUGGAAGAGAUCCCCUUAUAUGGGAACAUCACGGACAAGAGCAUGAACGCCCAGCCGGGCUGCUGAGACAGUUGUCUAGCCACUUCUCACAGACUCUGACAGGAGAGGAUGAUGUUAACAGCUCGGUAAGUACCAGUGUG
Non-coding RNA from Sturnus vulgaris (Common starling), 310 nucleotides. Lineage: Eukaryota; Metazoa; Chordata; Aves; Passeriformes; Sturnidae. The record is from RefSeq and is a predicted model, not a curated record.